GUGGGGAAUAUUGCACAAUGGGGGGAACCCUGAUGCAGCGACGCCGCGUGAGUGAAGAAGUAAUUCGUUACGUAAAGCUCUAUCAGCAGGGAAGAAAAUGACGGUACCUGACUAAGAAGCCCCGGCUAACUACGUGCCAGCAGCCGCGGUAAUACGUAGGGGGCAAGCGUUAUCCGGAUUUACUGGGUGUAAAGGGAGCGUAGACGGCUGUGCAAGUCUGAAGUGAAAGCCCGCGGCUCAACCGGGGGACUGCUUUGGAAACUGUAAAGCUGGAGUGCAGGAGGGGUGGGCGGAAUUCCUAGUGUAGCGGUGAAAUGCGUAGAUAUUAGGAGGAACACCAGUGGCGAAGGCGGCUUACUGGACUGUAACUGACGUUGAGGCUCGAAAGCGUGGGGAGCAAACAGGA
This 406-nucleotide ribosomal RNA is filed under the name uncultured bacterium. RNAcentral's name for it is "bacterial SSU rRNA". It matches the Rfam family "Bacterial small subunit ribosomal RNA", at positions 354 to 777 of the family's 1533-position model. The record is from RNAcentral.